UCCCGGUUACCCGGGCAGUUCUGUGUGUCAGCGAUAACACACCGUAAGGGUUGCGCUCGUUACCCGACUGAACGGAACAGCUCACGCCACGAGCUGACGACAACCAUGCAGCACCUGUGGUACACCCUCGAAGGUCACACAUUUCUGUGCGCUUGCAGUACCAUGUCAAACCUCGGUUAGGUUCUUCGCUUACCGUCGAAUUAAACCACAUGCUCCACCGCUUGUGUGGAUCCCCGUCAAUUCCUUUGGGUUUUAGCCUUGCGGCCGUACUAUCCAGGCGGGAUACUUAACGCGUUAGCUUCGAUACCGAUGGGGUCAAUUCCACCGAUACCUAGUAUCCAUCGUUUACGGCGUGGACUAC
RNAcentral lists this unclassified non-coding RNA (361 nucleotides) under uncultured bacterium. Its description in RNAcentral is "contains 16S-23S intergenic spacer region". The record is from RNAcentral.